Molecule: long non-coding RNA, 735 nt
Filed under: Medicago truncatula (barrel medic)
Lineage: Eukaryota; Viridiplantae; Streptophyta; Magnoliopsida; Fabales; Fabaceae
Description: long non-coding RNA (MTRU_LNC003251)
Source: RNAcentral
AAUUUCAUUCAUCCCAGAACCAUGCUUGCUUUCUCUCUCUCCUCAAACGUACUUAGUAAAGUUGACUUAUAUUCAUUUCUUUAGUUGUGAAAUUUUCCUAACAAUCAAACAGGGUCCUUGAAAUUGAUUCUUAACAUAAAUUCUUUGAUUUGUUUCUGCAGGAUGUGUUCUUAUAGAUACAGCUACGCUUUUGCAGAAUUCAUAGUUUUUGUUCUUAUUUUAUUAAAUUGCUUUCUUGGAGUUUGGCUGCAAGUUGUUAAAAUGGCUAAGAGAAUGGAACUGUGAGCACUUCUGGUAAUCAUUGAUUUCGACAGCACGGCUCAACAAAUUUACUUUGUUAUAAUUUUUUGUUGGAAGAACCAAGUUAUGGUUAUUUUGUUGUUCAUAAGUACAAUAGGGCCUAUGAUAAAGAAAAUAGUUUAUUUAAGAAUUAAACAAGCUGGUAGAGGUUCAUUCUUUGGUAGAGAUCUGAACACUUGACAUGGUUGUGGUGGUCGGAAUUGCACUUGAAGCUUUGAAGGAGAUAAGAUGGAGGGCGGGUGGUGGUUCUCCGGAUCCGGUGAGUAGAAAGAAGAUGGCAGAGGUGAGGGAGAGGGGAAAGAAGAGAGAGAAAGGGGAGGAAAAGAAGGAGUGAAGGAGACUCUCACCGUUUUUUUAUUUUAUUGUUAUGAACAAUUAAAAUUUACCAUGUGUCAAUUUUUUAUGUGGAGGUCAAAUGGUGUUUGCCACCUAAAG